Non-coding RNA from Macaca mulatta (Rhesus monkey), 965 nucleotides. The record is from RefSeq and is a predicted model, not a curated record. Lineage: Eukaryota; Metazoa; Chordata; Mammalia; Primates; Cercopithecidae.
CAGCUCUGGAGACUGGAAGUUGAAUCAGGAUACCAGCAUACUCAGGUCCUGGUGAGGGCCCUCUUCUGGGCUGUAGAAUGAGGACUCCUUGGAUCCUCACAUGGUGGAAAGCAGGGAGAUUAUGUGCCCACAAUAGAAUGGAGCUGAGUUCUGCUGCAGGAAGUAGAUUGCGCUAAGGAUUUGCAGCUAGAUCAAAAGGUUACCCACAGUGUUGACCUACGAGUGUAAGUCAUGUGUAAUGGGAUCAAGGAAGGUUCAGUGAGAUGCUGAAAUGAGAUACAGAAUACAAUGAUCAUAUUCAGGGCAGACUUCAUUGUAGAAAAACAAAGACCCAGACACAAAGCCAGUUGAUGAGACUUGGACUUCCUCCCUUCUGCUCCCCGCUGCCAACCCUGCUCACAGCCAGCCAGACCCCAGCGGCUCCGGACACUCCUCAAUGCUCAGCACCUGCUGAUCAGGCAUCAUUUGAAAUAACAGAGAUGCCCUCUAUUAUAUAGGAAAAGUUGACAUCUUUCAGGGCACAGGGUUUACAUUGGAGGCUCCCUUCAUAGGUGAAGAAAUGCAAAGGAACUUAGGGAAAGCUGUGUUGCUGAGUUCUGGAGCCCAUGAGGGAAGAGUCUUCUACAGUAAAGCUUUGAGUCUAGGCUGCUGGUGCUGCCGUGGGGGAGCCGGGAGGAGCUCACAGUUUUGACAGAUUUAUUCCCAAAGAUGUGCUUGCCCACUGACCGAGCCUUGGUUGUCUUAAUCCUGCUCAAUCUCCUUUCCCUUGAGUUCCAGCCUCCCUUUAUGAAGCAAUACUAAGGUUACCCCGAAUGAGAAUGGCCACAGAACAGCAGGGAUUUGGGCUUUUUUUUUUCCCCCCCCAAGCAAGAGCCAUAGUGCACUUGCUGGAGGGUAGAAUAGUUCCCCAAAGACGUGUUUCCCUGCUGUUCACAUAAUGAAAAGUGAAGUUCUUGAUGUCUUUU